AGAGUUUGAUCCUGGCUCAGGAUGAACGCUGGCGGCGUGCCUAAUACAUGCAAGUCGAGCGAACGGACGAGAAGCUUGCUUCUCUGAUGUUAGCGGCGGACGGGUGAGUAACACGUGGAUAACCUACCUAUAAGACUGGGAUAACUUCGGGAAACCGGAGCUAAUACCGGAUAAUAUUUUGAACCGCAUGGUUCAAAAGUGAAAGACGGUCUUGCUGUCACUUAUAGAUGGAUCCGCGCUGCAUUAGCUAGUUGGUAAGGUAACGGCUUACCAAGGCAACGAUGCAUAGCCGACCUGAGAGGGUGAUCGGCCACACUGGAACUGAGACACGGUCCAGACUCCUACGGGAGGCAGCAGUAGGGAAUCUUCCGCAAUGGGCGAAAGCCUGACGGAGCAACGCCGCGUGAGUGAUGAAGGUCUUCGGAUCGUAAAACUCUGUUAUUAGGGAAGAACAUAUGUGUAAGUAACUGUGCACAUCUUGACGGUACCUAAUCAGAAAGCCACGGCUAACUACGUGCCAGCAGCCGCGGUAAUACGUAGGUGGCAAGCGUUAUCCGGAAUUAUUGGGCGUAAAGCGCGCGUAGGCGGUUUUUUAAGUCUGAUGUGAAAGCCCACGGCUCAACCGUGGAGGGUCAUUGGAAACUGGAAAACUUGAGUGCAGAAGAGGAAAGUGGAAUUCCAUGUGUAGCGGUGAAAUGCGCAGAGAUAUGGAGGAACACCAGUGGCGAAGGCGACUUUCUGGUCUGUAACUGACGCUGAUGUGCGAAAGCGUGGGGAUCAAACAGGAUUAGAUACCCUGGUAGUCCACGCCGUAAACGAUGAGUGCUAAGUGUUAGGGGGUUUCCGCCCCUUAGUGCUGCAGCUAACGCAUUAAGCACUCCGCCUGGGGAGUACGACCGCAAGGUUGAAACUCAAAGGAAUUGACGGGGACCCGCACAAGCGGUGGAGCAUGUGGUUUAAUUCGAAGCAACGCGAAGAACCUUACCAAAUCUUGACAUCCUUUGACAACUCUAGAGAUAGAGCCUUCCUCUUCGGGGGACAAAGUGACAGGUGGUGCAUGGUUGUCGUCAGCUCGUGUCGUGAGAUGUUGGGUUAAGUCCCGCAACGAGCGCAACCCUUAAGCUUAGUUGCCAUCAUUAAGUUGGGCACUCUAAGUUGACUGCCGGUGACAAACCGGAGGAAGGUGGGGAUGACGUCAAAUCAUCAUGCCCCUUAUGAUUUGGGCUACACACGUGCUACAAUGGACAAUACAAAGGGCAGCGAAACCGCGAGGUCAAGCAAAUCCCAUAAAGUUGUUCUCAGUUC
This 1305-nucleotide ribosomal RNA is filed under the name Staphylococcus aureus M0688. Its description in RNAcentral is "bacterial SSU rRNA". It matches the Rfam family "Bacterial small subunit ribosomal RNA", at positions 8 to 1294 of the family's 1533-position model. The record is from RNAcentral. Lineage: Bacteria; Bacillati; Bacillota; Bacilli; Caryophanales; Staphylococcaceae.